Papio anubis (olive baboon) is the source of this 2075-nucleotide long non-coding RNA. NCBI's taxonomy places the organism in Eukaryota, Metazoa, Chordata, Mammalia, Primates, Cercopithecidae. The record is from Ensembl.
AUAACUACUAGUCUGCUUGUAAUAGCCAUUCUGAAAGAUGUGAACAGUAUUGUGUAUAUAUACUUAUUUGUUCUAUUUAGCUAUGGAAUAAAUUCAAUUACUAUUAUUUCUACACAUACUCUUUCUUGAUUUUGUUUCCCAUAUUAUUCAGAUGGCUUUUGCACUGAGAGCAAACACAGCUGACAGCGUGGUCCACUCUUGCAGAUGCAGCCCAGAGUAUUUGUCUUCUGAUGGGCCAGUGGUUAAAGGAGUAAGAGGAAGAGGAUCUUUGAAGGGGCAAAGUGGUAAGGAGGGCUCUUCCUGCUUUGCUUGGCACUUCUCCAUUGUGCUGCCUUAUGAAGAAGGUGUCUUGCUUCCCCUUCACCUUCUGCCAUGAGUGUAAAUUUCCUGAGGCCUCCCCAGUCAUGCUGAACUGUGAGUCAAUUAAACCUCUUUCCUUUAUAAAUUACCCAGUCUUAGACAGUUCUUUAUAGCAGUAUGAAAUAGACUAAAAAAAAGACUAAGAAAACCUGCAAAUAUUGAAUGAGCAUGAAGCCUAUAGAAAUAUGAUAAAUUAACUUACAUUGCUUCACAUAACAAGGAAAUAAUAUUUUGUGAAUAUGACUUCUGUAAGACAUAUAUAUUUAAAAUGUACUACCUCUUUUUAGAGAAUGACAGUUAUUGAAAAGAAGACUAUGACCUGUUUGUGUGAAUAAAAAAAGCAACUUCACGAGAUAAGACUAUGACUUAUUUUUGUAAAAAAAAAAAAAAAACAGAUAAACCUAAUUACAUAUUUACCUUCAUAACUCAUUUGACAGUAAAAAAUAGAAAAUAUAUAAUGUAAUUAUGGCAUAAUUAAAAUAUGAUUAUAGCCCAUUUAAAGAUAUUCCUUACAAGAGAAAGUCUCUUUCCCUGAUACUGUAAUCCUUGUGUUCAGUGUAGUCUUAUUAAAAUUGUCUAGUUCUUUUAGGACUUAUACCUAAAUCAUUCUGGAAAACAAAGCUAUGUUGAAGACAUUUUGUUAAAUUAUGGUAAAAUUUACAUACAAUAACUUUCACCAUUAUUAGGUGUACAGUUUGGUAAAUUUUCAAAAAAUGUAUAUAGUCAUAAAUCAAGAUUUGGCUGGGCACAGUGGCUCAUGUCUGUAAUCCUAGUACUUUGGGAGAUGGAGUUAGGAGGGUCACUUGAGGCCAGAAGUCUGAGAACAGCCUGGGCAACAUAGUGAGACCCUAUCCAUACAGAAAAAAAUUAUUAAUUUUUAAUCAAGAUUUAUAUUUCACCAUACCUAGCAGUUUCCAUACAUUCCCUUGUAGUAAGUCUCUUCUUCUCCAUAGACCCUUCCCUACAUUGUCAGGUCCUAGUAAAUGCUCAUGUGUUUUUAUAUCUGUAAUUUUGCUUUUUCAGAAAUGCAAAGUACAGUAAGUUAUUUAUGGCUUCUUUCGUUUACCGUAAUGCUUUUGAGAUGCAUCCGUGUUGUUGCAUUUAUCAGUAGUCAUCUUCUUCUUCUUGCUACACGUUGUCCCACUGUAUGAAUGCACCACAAAUGGGGAGCAUUUACAUCUUUAUCAUUUUAAUCAUCACAAAUGAAGGUCUUAUCAAUAUUCAUUAAAGGUCUUUGUGCUGAUAUAUAUUUUCAUUUAUUUUUGAUAAAUGCUUAAGAAUGGAAGUGCUGGUCAUCAGGUAAGUGUGUACAAAAUUGUAUUAUUGAAAAACUGCCAGUUUAUUUCUAAAGUAGCUGUAUAAUUUCACAUUCCCACCAUAAAAAUGUUAACAGUUCAAAUUUAUUCAUAUGAUCCCAAUACAUUGGUAUUGUCCUUUGAAUUGUAUCAAUUCUUGAAUACUUCUUAGCAGUAACAGGAAUUGUUGUUACAAUGCCAGAAAGUGGGCAGGUGAAUCUCAAGCACUUUCUAUACAUUGAGUGAAAUAAGCCAUUAUAAAAACAAUUGCAUACUGUUUGAUAGAACAUAUACUUAUUUAUCCCUGAAUAUACAAACUGUAAUGAUAGAAAAACAGAUUGUUAAAAUUCAUGAAACUGAACAUGAAAAGAAAAAAACAACAUGAUUAUAUGAUAAUUUAGAUAGAAAUUUAAAAAUGAA